This 422-nucleotide ribosomal RNA is filed under the name Ligilactobacillus salivarius. Its description in RNAcentral is "bacterial SSU rRNA". It matches the Rfam family "Bacterial small subunit ribosomal RNA", at positions 330 to 744 of the family's 1533-position model. Lineage: Bacteria; Bacillati; Bacillota; Bacilli; Lactobacillales; Lactobacillaceae. The record is from RNAcentral.
CCCAGACUCCUACGGGAGGCAGCAGUAGGGAAUCUUCCACAAUGGACGCAAGUCUGAUGGAGCAACGCCGCGUGAGUGAAGAAGGUCUUCGGAUCGUAAAACUCUGUUGUUAGAGAAGAACACGAGUGAGAGUAACUGUUCAUUCGAUGACGGUAUCUAACCAGCAAGUCACGGCUAACUACGUGCCAGCAGCCGCGGUAAUACGUAGGUGGCAAGCGUUGUCCGGAUUUAUUGGGCGUAAAGGGAACGCAGGCGGUCUUUUAAGUGUGAUGUGAAAGCCUUCGGCUUAACCGGAGUAGUGCAUUGGAAACUGGAAGACUUGAGUGCAGAAGAGGAGAGUGGAACUCCAUGUGUAGCGGUGAAAUGCGUAGAUAUAUGGAAGAACACCAGUGGCGAAAGCGGCUCUCUGGUCUGUAACUGAC